UUCCUUCAACUCUUCUUUGUCCUCCUAGCAUGUAGAAUAUUCUUAUACCAGUCACUCAUAUCUUUACUUACAGCCUGAUUGGCAUGUGACCAGAGUAGACAGUAUCUAAGAUUCCAAAAUAGCAUUUUCUUUACCAGUAUCCUUAAUCAAGUAGGCAAGAGUUCUAAGGAAUCUUUUGUUCUUAAUUCUGAGUUGCUCUUGGAUCUCUACAGUGCCGCGUAUGAUGCUGUCCUUGACAGAAAUGUGGCCAUUAAGAAGCUCAGCAGACCCUUUCAGAACCAAACACAUGCCAAGAGAGCGUACCGGGAGCUGGUCCUCAUGAAGUGUGUGAACCAUAAAAACAUUAUUAGUUUAUUAAAUGUCUUCACACCCCAGAAAACGCUGGAGGAGUUCCAAGAUGUUUACUUAGUAAUGGAACUGA
This 421-nucleotide small RNA is filed under the name Pongo abelii (Sumatran orangutan). Its description in RNAcentral is "retained intron". Lineage: Eukaryota; Metazoa; Chordata; Mammalia; Primates; Hominidae. The record is from RNAcentral.